CCUACGGGUGGCAGCAGUGAGGAAUAUUGGUCAAUGGGCGAGAGGCUGAACCAGCCAAGUCGCGUGAAGGAAGACGGCCCUACGGGUUGUAAACCUCUUUUGUCAAGGAGCAAAGAGAGUCACGUGUGACUCUUUGAGUGUACCUGAUGAAAAAGCAUCGGCUAACUCCGUGCCAGCAGCCGCGGUAAUACGGAGGAUGCGAGCGUUAUCCGGAUUUAUUGGGUUUAAAGGGUGCGGCGGCGGGUUGUGAAGUCAGCGGUUAAAGUUCGGGGCUCAACCCCGGGACUGCGGUGGAAACUGCAUGGCUUGAGUGCUAGAGAGGUAUGCGGAAUGCGUGGUGUAGCGGUGAAAUGCAUAGAUAUUACGCAGAACUCCGAUGGCGAAGGCAGCAUACUGGACAGUAACUGACGCUGAGGCACGAAAGCGUGGGUAGCGAACAGGAUUAGAUACCCGGGUAGUC
Molecule: ribosomal RNA, 460 nt
Filed under: uncultured bacterium
Lineage: Bacteria
Description: partial 16S ribosomal RNA
Rfam family: Bacterial small subunit ribosomal RNA
Source: RNAcentral